RNAcentral lists this unclassified non-coding RNA (605 nucleotides) under Hevea brasiliensis (rubber tree). Lineage: Eukaryota; Viridiplantae; Streptophyta; Magnoliopsida; Malpighiales; Euphorbiaceae. The record is from RNAcentral.
GAUGGAUCAUGUCAGGGUUCAUCCUAAAUUUUUACAUUCCAAUGCAACCAGUCAUAAGUGGGCUCUUGGAGCAUUUGCGGAACUUUUAGACAACUCAUUGGAUGAGGUUUGCAAUGGAGCAACAUAUGUUAAUAUUGAUAUGCUUGAAAGUAGGAAGAACGGAAGCAGAAUGCUUUUGAUUGAAGAUAAUGGUGGUGGAAUGGAUCCAGAUAAAAUGCGACAAUGCAUGUCCUUGGGGUAUUCUGCAAAAAGCAAAGUGGCCAACACCAUUGGACAGUAUGGCAAUGGAUUUAAGACUAGCACCAUGAGGCUUGGAGCAGAUGUUAUUGUAUUCUCACGUUGUCGUGGGAAAGAUGGAAAAAGUCCUACGCAGAGCAUUGGGUUACUGUCAUACACCUUCCUCAAGAGCACAGGAAAAGAAGAUAUUGUGGUACCCAUGCUUGACUAUGAAAGAAAAGGGGGAGAAUGGAACAAGAUGACACGAGUCUCUAGUGGUGAUUGGAACAGAAAUGCAGAAACAUUAGUUCAAUGGUCCCCAUUUUCCAGUGAGGCAGACCUCCUUCGUCAGUUUAAUCUGAUGUCAGAUCAUGGGACAAGAAUAAUAA